UGGGGAAUAUUGGACAAUGGGCGCAAGCCUGAUCCAGCCAUGCCGCGUGAGUGAUGAAGGCCCUAGGGUUGUAAAGCUCUUUCACCGGUGAAGAUAAUGACGGUAACCGGAGAAGAAGCCCCGGCUAACUUCGUGCCAGCAGCCGCGGUAAUACGAAGGGGGCUAGCGUUGUUCGGAUUUACUGGGCGUAAAGCGCACGUAGGCGGACUUUUAAGUCAGGGGUGAAAUCCCGGGGCUCAACCCCGGUACUGCCUUUGAUACUGGAAGUCUUGAGUAUGGUAGAGGUGAGUAGAAUUCCGAGUGUAGAGGUGAAAUUCGUAGAUAUUCGGAGGAACACCAGUGGCGAAGGCGUCUCACUGGACCAUUACUGACGCAGAGGUGCGAAAGCGUGGGGAGCAAACGGG
This 404-nucleotide ribosomal RNA is filed under the name Actinomycetes bacterium. RNAcentral's name for it is "Actinobacteria bacterium partial 16S ribosomal RNA". It matches the Rfam family "Bacterial small subunit ribosomal RNA", at positions 355 to 776 of the family's 1533-position model. Lineage: Bacteria; Bacillati; Actinomycetota; Actinomycetes. The record is from RNAcentral.